UUGGUUCAAAUUGGAAAAAUCCAGGAGAACAACUCUGCUUGGCCCAGGCUGAAAGUCGCAUGUCCUUGACCGUGGCCAGAGGCAUAACAUCCAUGAAAGCCAGAACUAUACCUGUUCGUUAAGAGCUACUUCAGAAGUGUCUGAAAUAAAUGAGUGAACGUGCUGAGGAAACAUUUUCCAGAUGCAGGGGAGGAGUCUCUGCAAAUUCACAGUGUCUCCAGGGACGAGCGGCGAGGGCUGG
Long non-coding RNA from Suricata suricatta (meerkat), 241 nucleotides. RefSeq lists it as uncharacterized. The transcript has 3 exons. Lineage: Eukaryota; Metazoa; Chordata; Mammalia; Carnivora; Herpestidae. The record is from RefSeq and is a predicted model, not a curated record.